GGGUUGUGAGGUUAAGCGACUAAGCGUACACGGUGGAUGCCCUGGCAGUCAGAGGCGAUGAAGGGCGUGCUAAUCUGCGAUAAGCGCCGGUAAGGUGAUAUGAACCGUUAUAACCGGCGAUACCCGAAUGGGGAAACCCAGUGUGACUCGUCACACUAUCAUUAACUGAAUCCAUAGGUUAAUGAGGCGAACCGGGGGAACUGAAACAUCUAAGUACCCCGAGGAAAAGAAAUCAACCGAGAUUCCCCCAGUAGCGGCGAGCGAACGGGGAGGAGCCCAGAGCCUGAAUCAGCAUGUGUGUUAGUGGAAGCGUCUGGAAAGGCGCGCGAUACAGGGUGACAGCCCCGUACACAAAAGCGCAUGUGCUGUGAGCUCGAUGAGUAGGGCGGGACACGUGGUAUCCUGUCUGAAUAUGGGGGGACCAUCCUCCAAGGCUAAAUACUCCUGACUGACCGAUAGUGAACCAGUACCGUGAGGGAAAGGCGAAAAGAACCCCGGCGAGGGGAGUGAAAAAGAACCUGAAACCGUGUACGUACAAGCAGUGGGAGCACCCUUUGGGGUGUGACUGCGUACCUUUUGUAUAAUGGGUCAGCGACUUAUAUUCUGUAGCAAGGUUAACCGAAUAGGGGAGCCGCAGGGAAACCGAGUCUUAAUUGGGCGUUAAGUUGCAGGGUAUAGACCCGAAACCCGGUGAUCUAGCCAUGGGCAGGUUGAAGGUUGGGUAACACUAACUGGAGGACCGAACCGACUAAUGUUGAAAAAUUAGCGGAUGACCUGUGGCUGGGGGUGAAAGGCCAAUCAAACCGGGAGAUAGCUGGUUCUCCCCGAAAGCUAUUUAGGUAGCGCCUCGUGAAUUCAUCUCCGGGGGUAGAGCACUGUUUCGGCUAGGGGGCCAUCCCGGCUUACCAACCCGAUGCAAACUGCGAAUACCGGAGAAUGUUAUCACGGGAGACACACGGCGGGUGCUAACGUCCGUCGUGAAGAGGGAAACAACCCAGACCGCCAGCUAAGGUCCCAAAGUCAUGGUUAAGUGGGAAACGAUGUGGGAAGGCCCAGACAGCCAGGAUGUUGGCUUAGAAGCAGCCAUCAUUUAAAGAAAGCGUAAUAGCUCACUGGUCGAGUCGGCCUGCGCGGAAGAUGUAACGGGGCUAAACCAUGCACCGAAGCUGCGGCAGCGACGCUGAUGCGUUGUUGGGUAGGGGAGCGUUCUGUAAGCCUGCGAAGGUGGCCUGUGAGGGUUGCUGGAGGUAUCAGAAGUGCGAAUGCUGACAUAAGUAACGAUAAAGCGGGUGAAAAGCCCGCUCGCCGGAAGACCAAGGGUUCCUGUCCAACGUUAAUCGGGGCAGG
Molecule: ribosomal RNA, 1347 nt
Filed under: Salmonella enterica subsp. enterica serovar Goldcoast
Lineage: Bacteria; Pseudomonadati; Pseudomonadota; Gammaproteobacteria; Enterobacterales; Enterobacteriaceae
Description: partial 23S ribosomal RNA
Rfam family: Bacterial large subunit ribosomal RNA
Source: RNAcentral